RNAcentral lists this ribosomal RNA (400 nucleotides) under uncultured bacterium. Its description in RNAcentral is "bacterial SSU rRNA". It matches the Rfam family "Bacterial small subunit ribosomal RNA", at positions 29 to 415 of the family's 1533-position model. The record is from RNAcentral.
AACGAACGCUGGCGGCGUGGAUAAGACAUGCAAGUCGAACGGGAUUAUUUUUGUAGCAAUACAGAAAUAAUUCAGUGGCGAACGGGUGCGUAACACGUGGGCAAUCUGCCGAAAAGUGGGGGAUAGCUCGCCGAAAGGCGAAUUAAUACCGCAUGUGGUGAGGGACGACAUCUUCCUGAAUCCAAAGCCGGGGCAACCUGGCGCUUUUGAGGAGCCCGCGGCCUAUCAGCUAGUUGGCGGGGUAACGGCCCACCAAGGCUAUGACGGGUAGCUGGUCUGAGAGGACGACCAGUCACACUGGAACUGAGACACGGUCCAGACACCUACGGGUGGCAGCAGUCGAGAAUUUUUCUCAAUGGGGGAAACCCUGAAGGAGCGACGCCGCGUGGAGGAUGAAGGC